Long non-coding RNA from Cotesia glomerata, 452 nucleotides. RefSeq lists it as uncharacterized. The transcript is spliced from 2 exons. Lineage: Eukaryota; Metazoa; Arthropoda; Insecta; Hymenoptera; Braconidae. The record is from RefSeq and is a predicted model, not a curated record.
UAAUUUCAAAUGUAAAUAAUUAAAUUAACUAAUCAGUGUUAUAUUAAGUUGAAGUGAUGUAAUGAUGGUAAAUUAUGAAACAAAUAAUGGUAUGGAAAUAAUUCAAACAAUAUUGGAAGAUUUGUUCAGCUGAAGAAGUGUAGAUUAUCCACGUGCAACGAACCUAGCCAAAUAUUUUAAUUAUUUUACAGGACUGUAGUCAGUGUAUCAAUAGUGCUAUGAAAAUUUUUCAAUCAAUGAAUGCGAAGUACCAAAUAGAUAAUGUAAUCAUCUAAGAUCGUCGUCAAGUAUAGCUAUUGUGAUGAAAAAAAAAUUUUUUAAUUCAACAUAGCAACUCGAAUAAGCCAAUGAAAUAUGAAGAUAUAUGUGUAUGAGAAAAGUGAAUAGUGACUGUCAGUCGAUGAUAUACUUUCAGAAUUUUUGACAACUUUGAAUCGGCGAAAAUAUUUCAU